RNAcentral lists this ribosomal RNA (254 nucleotides) under uncultured bacterium. RNAcentral's name for it is "partial 16S ribosomal RNA". It matches the Rfam family "Bacterial small subunit ribosomal RNA", at positions 524 to 776 of the family's 1533-position model. The record is from RNAcentral.
UACGUAGGGUGCGAGCGUUGUCCGGAAUUAUUGGGCGUAAAGAGCUUGUAGGUGGCUCGUUGCGUCGGGAGUGAAAACCUGCGGCUUAACCGCAGGCCUGCUUCCGAUACGGGCGAGCUAGAGUUCGGCAGGGGAGACUGGAAUUCCUGGUGUAGCGGUGGAAUGCGCAGAUAUCAGGAGGAACACCGGUGGCGAAGGCGGGUCUCUGGGCCGAUACUGACACUGGAGAAGCGAAAGCGUGGGGAGCGAACAGG